RNAcentral lists this ribosomal RNA (430 nucleotides) under uncultured bacterium. Its description in RNAcentral is "partial 16S ribosomal RNA". It matches the Rfam family "Bacterial small subunit ribosomal RNA", at positions 338 to 795 of the family's 1533-position model. The record is from RNAcentral.
UCUACGGGAGGCAGCAGUGGGGAAUAUUGGGCAAUGGGCGCAAGCCUGACCCAGCAACGCCGCGUGAAGGAAGAAGGCUUUCGGGUUGUAAACUUCUUUUAAGAGGGAAGAGCAGAAGACGGUACCUCUUGAAUAAGCCACGGCUAACUACGUGCCAGCAGCCGCGGUAAUACGUAGGUGGCAAGCGUUGUCCGGAUUUACUGGGUGUAAAGGGCGUGCAGCCGGGAAGACAAGUCAGAUGUGAAAUCCCGCGGCUCAACCGCGGAACUGCGUGGCUAGAGUGCAGGAGGGGCAGGCGGAAUUCCUGGUGUAGCGGUGAAAUGCGUAGAUAUCAGGAGGAACACCGGUGGCGAAGGCGGCCUGCUGGACUGCAACUGACGUUGAGGCCCGAAAGCGUGGGGAGCAAACAGGAUUAGAUACCCCUGUAGUC